RNAcentral lists this ribosomal RNA (781 nucleotides) under uncultured bacterium. RNAcentral describes it as "bacterial SSU rRNA". It matches the Rfam family "Bacterial small subunit ribosomal RNA", at positions 8 to 796 of the family's 1533-position model. The record is from RNAcentral.
AGAGUUUGAUCCUGGCUCAGAACGAACGCUGGCGGCGUGGAUAAGACAUGCAAGUCGAACGGGACCAAGUCUGUAGUAAUACAAACUUGGUUCAGUGGCGCACGGGUGCGUAACACGUGAGCAAUCUGCCGGGAAGUGGGGGAUAGCUCGCCGAAAGGCGAAUUAAUACCGCAUGUGGCCAUUCUUCGAGUGGAGGAAAAGCCAAAGCAGCAAUGCGCUUCCUGAUGAGCUCGCGGCCUAUCAGCUCGAUGGCGGGGUAAUGGCCCACCAUAGCUUUGACGGGUAGCUGGUCUGAGAGGACGACCAGCCACACUGGAACUGAGACACGGUCCAGACACCUACGGGUGGCAGCAGUCGAGAAUUUUUCACAAUGGGGGCAACCCUGAUGGAGCGACGCCGCGUGGAGGAUGAAGGCCUUCGGGUUGUAAACUCCUGUCAUGCGGGAACAAGCAAGUGAUAGUACCGCAAGAGGAAGAGACGGCUAACUCUGUGCCAGCAGCCGCGGUAAUACAGAGGUCUCAAGCGUUGUUCGGAUUCAUUGGGCGUAAAGGGUGCGUAGGUGGUGAUGCAAGUCUGGUGUGAAAUCUCGGAGCUCAACUCCGAAAUUGCACCGGAUACUGCGUGACUCGAGGACUGUAGAGGAGAUCGGAAUUCACGGUGUAGCAGUGAAAUGCGUAGAUAUCGUGAGGAAGACCAGUUGCGAAGGCGGAUCUCUGGGCAGUUCCUGACACUGAGGCACGAAGGCCAGGGGAGCAAACGGGAUUAGAUACCCCCGUAGUCC